This 58-nucleotide transfer RNA is filed under the name Heliconema longissimum. RNAcentral's name for it is "tRNA-His". The record is from RNAcentral. Lineage: Eukaryota; Metazoa; Nematoda; Chromadorea; Rhabditida; Physalopteridae.
AAGUUUUUAGUUUAUAAUUAAAAUUUUUGUUUGUGGUACAAAAGAUUUUUAAAACUUA